GGGUCGUUAGCUCAGUUGGUAGAGCAGUUGACUUUUAAUCAAUUGGUCGCAGGUUCGAAUCCUGCACGACCCC
This 73-nucleotide transfer RNA is filed under the name Escherichia coli. Its description in RNAcentral is "tRNA-Lys". It matches the Rfam family "tRNA". From Rfam's summary of the family: Transfer RNA (tRNA) molecules are approximately 80 nucleotides in length. The record is from RNAcentral. Lineage: Bacteria; Pseudomonadati; Pseudomonadota; Gammaproteobacteria; Enterobacterales; Enterobacteriaceae. RNAcentral also lists the same sequence under 9 other names.